This 2341-nucleotide long non-coding RNA is filed under the name Homo sapiens (human). Its description in RNAcentral is "HSALNT0147412". The stretch from base 563 to 706 matches the Rfam family "CDKN2B antisense RNA 1 convserved region 3". Lineage: Eukaryota; Metazoa; Chordata; Mammalia; Primates; Hominidae. The record is from RNAcentral.
CGUAGGGAGGCGCGCGCGCGGGCGGCUCAGGGCCCGCGUUCCUCUCCCUCCCGCCUACCGCCACUUUCCCGCCCUGUGUGCGCCCCCACCCCCACCACCAUCUUCCCACCCUCAGCGCGGGCGCCCCGCGGUGACGGCCCAGGGGCCGGACGCCUGGAACGCAACUCCAGGCAGCUCGCCCCCUAGCUACAUCCGUCACCUGACACGGCCCUACCAGGAACAGCCGCGCUCCCGCGGAUUCUGGUGCUGCUCGCGUCCCCGCUCCCCUAUUCCCCUUAUUUUAUUCCUGGCUCCCCUCGUCGAAAGUCUUCCAUUCUUCAAACUAGAUUAUUUAAAAAUGAAAAAGGAAGAAAGGAAAGCGAGGUCAUCUCAUUGCUCUAUCCGCCAAUCAGGAGGCUGAAUGUCAGUUUUGAACUAAAAGCCGCUCCGCUCCUCUUCUAGAUUUGGAAAACAAGCGAAAUUAAACUAAACCGCUGCACGCCUCUGACGCGACAUCUGGACACGGCGCGGCGCUGGCGCUGCCGGAGCUGUCGACCCGGCCUGGCGCCGGACUAGUGUCCCUUUUGAUGAGAAGAAUAAGCCUCAUUCUGAUUCAACAGCAGAGAUCAAAGAAAAGACUUCUGUUUUCUGGCCACCAGAUAUAUGUUAUCUGUGCUUAAAGAAUUGAAAAACACACAUCAAAGGAGAAUUUUCUUGGAAAGAGAGGGUUCAAGCAUCACUGUUAGGUGUGCUGGAAUCCUUUCCCGAGUCAGUACUGCUUUCUAGAAGAAAACCGGGGAGAUCUAUUUGGAAUGUAUCUAACUCCAAAGAAACCAUCAGAGGUAACAGUAGAGACGGGGUUUCACCAUGUUGGCCAGACUGGUCUUGAACUCUCGACCUCGUGAUUCGCCCGCCUCGGCCUCCCAAAGUGCUGGGAUUACAGGUGUGAGACACCACACCCGGCGGAUAGAGAGAAUUUUGACAGGUGAUGGAGGCUUUUUAUUUUGCCACAAAACCACUGGUGACGUUGCCUGUGGCCACCUUGGAGAAGACACUGGAGGCCUGGGACAUGGAGACUGCUUUUCUGCAGAAACCACAUCCCUUGGAGUAAUGAGCUACACCUACCUCAAUUAUUCAGUGCAGUACAACACUCCAGACAGGGUCUCACUCUGUCACCCAGGCUGGAGUGUAUUGGCAUGAUUACAGCUCACUGCAACCUUGAACUCCCAGGCUCAAACCUGAGCAGCUGGGACUACAGAUGCACCACCAUGCAUGGUACCAGAGAUAUAAUAAUGAGAAACAGACAUGCUCCCUCCCCUCAUUGAGGUUACAGCUUAGUGUGGAGACACACAGAUGCCUAACGCACUAUGGUAUGGAAGGUGCUAUGGACACAGUGCUCAAAUCCAUGAUCUACAUAGGUGGAGAACUUCAGUAGAGGAAGUGGCAGGAAUUUGGGAAUGAGGAGCACAGUGAUUAAACUGGGGCCAUUCAUAUGAGAGUUUAAGAACUCAGACCAGUGACUUAGAUUGGCUUCUCUCACAUGGCAAGAAACAUUGCUGCUAGCACUUCCCGAGUUCUACGUUCUACAACAUCCACCACUGGAUCUUAACAUAGACGUAAGAUCAAAUGCAAUAGCAUGUCAAACAAUGUGUAACUCCAGUUAUACAAACAUUACUGUAUCUCAUUGGGGAUACGAAGCUCUACACACUUGAAGAUGGUGAAGGAAUAUAAAAAUCUAUGUCUCACAGUCCAGACUUGGAGUACAAGUAAUAAGAAGAAUAAAACUUAAUCCCUUAAGUAGAUUCACCAUAAGUUAGCUCAGAGCAAUUCCAGUGCAAGUAUGGUCUGUGAUCCAGUAGUAUCUUACAGACAGCAAGUUGAACAUUGUGGGAUGCAUGAGCUAUUGAGGCCUUUGCAGCUUUCUGCUACAUGGAGGCUAGGGCCAGAGUCAAGAUUUAUGCUUUGCAGCACACUGGUCAGCUGUUUUUGCAAAUCAGAUUAAAUGAUUUUUAAAUGAGGCUGAGAGCAUGGGAGAUACUAAUGUGUGUUUCCUUGUGAGCUACUGCAUAAGUUAGGAAAUUGAAAUACAGAAAGAUGAAAAGUGAUUUGCCCAAGCAUAUAGAUCAAAGCUGUGGCAGAACCAGGACUGGAACCUAUAUCUCUCUACUAAUGGUUUUUUUAAAAAAAUAACCUUGUUUCAAAAAUAUUAAAAAGUCACAAGAAAGGUAAACAUGUGGAUAAACAAAAUGAAGAAAAUAAAAAUUAUCCAGUAAUAACAUAUUGGCAUAUGUCUUUCUGGUAUAUUUUCCUGUGUUGUCAUCAUUAUCAUCUCCAUCAUCAUUAUAUCCAUCAUUAUCAUCAU